RNAcentral lists this ribosomal RNA (497 nucleotides) under uncultured bacterium. RNAcentral describes it as "partial 16S ribosomal RNA". It matches the Rfam family "Bacterial small subunit ribosomal RNA", at positions 28 to 507 of the family's 1533-position model. The record is from RNAcentral.
GAUGAACGCUGGCGGCGUGCCUAAUACAUGCAAGUCGAGCGAAAAGACGCGGAGCUUGCUCCUCUGACGUUAGCGGCGGACGGGUGAGUAACACGUGGAUCCCCUACCUAUAAGACUGGGAUCACUUCGGGAAACCGGAGCUAAUACCGGAUAAUAUAUUGAACCGCAUGGUUCAAUAGUGAAAGACGGUUUUGCUGUCUCUUAUAGAUGGAUCCGCGCCGCAUUAGCUAGUUGGUAAGGUAACGGCUUACCAAGGCGACGAUGCGUAGCCGAACUGAGAGGGGGAUCGGCCACACUGGAACGGAGACACGGUCCAGACUCCUACGGGAGGCAGCAGUAGGGAAUCUUCCGCAAUGGGCGAAAGCCUGACGGAGCAACGCCGCGUGAGUGAUGAAGGUCUUCGGAUCGUAAAACUCUGUUAUUAGGGAAGAACAAAUGUGUAAGUAACUAUGCACGUCUUGACGGUACCUAAUCAGAAAGCCACGGCUAACUACGUG